Molecule: transfer RNA, 64 nt
Filed under: Melanotus villosus
Lineage: Eukaryota; Metazoa; Arthropoda; Insecta; Coleoptera; Elateridae
Description: tRNA-Phe
Source: RNAcentral
AUUUUAAUAGCUUAUUUAGAGCAUAAUAUUGAAGAUAUUAAGGAGACAUUUUUGUCUUAAAGUA